RNAcentral lists this long non-coding RNA (471 nucleotides) under Mus musculus (house mouse). Its description in RNAcentral is "long non-coding RNA chrX:107233329-107233800". Lineage: Eukaryota; Metazoa; Chordata; Mammalia; Rodentia; Muridae. The record is from RNAcentral.
AUUGAGCAGGACAUUGAGCCCAAAAGAAAUCCCACACACUUCAUCAAAUUGCCCUGCUACAUCAGGCUGCAGCAGCAAAGGGCCAUCCACUGUAAGGAGCUUUAAGUACCUCCUGCCAUUAACCAGUUCACCCAGGCCCUGGACAGGGAAACAGCAACCUACUAGAUGCUUAAGCUUGCCCACAAGAACAGGAAGAGACAAAACAAUAGAUUUAAGCAAACAAAGGCUAGUGGCCAGUGCUGAGAAGAAAGCUGCUGUAAAGGGGACAUACCAACUAAGAGGCCACCUGUCCUACUAGCAGAGGUCAAUCAGCUACCACCUUGGUGGGGAACGAGAAGUGUCAGUUGGUGGUUUGCCCAUGACAUAGACCUCAUCAAGCUGCAGGUUUUCCUGCCUGCCCUGUGUUGAAAGAUUGAGUCUCCCUACUGCAUUGUCAAGGAAAAGGCCAGAUUGGGGAGGCUGGUCCGCAGG